GGGGCUGUAGCUUAGUGGUAAAGUGCUUGCCUUGCAUAUAUGAGGCACUGGGUUCAAUCCUCGGCACCA
This 69-nucleotide transfer RNA is filed under the name Ictidomys tridecemlineatus (thirteen-lined ground squirrel). Its description in RNAcentral is "Spermophilus tridecemlineatus (thirteen-lined ground squirrel) tRNA". It matches the Rfam family "tRNA". Rfam says of the family: Transfer RNA (tRNA) molecules are approximately 80 nucleotides in length. Their secondary structure includes four short double-helical elements and three loops (D, anti-codon, and T loops). Further hydrogen bonds mediate the characteristic L-shaped molecular structure. tRNAs have two regions of fundamental functional importance: the anti-codon, which is responsible for specific mRNA codon recognition, and the 3' end, to which the tRNAs corresponding amino acid is attached (by aminoacyl-tRNA synthetases). tRNAs cope with the degeneracy of the genetic code in two manners: having more than one tRNA (with a specific anti-codon) for a particular amino acid; and 'wobble' base-pairing, i.e. permitting non-standard base-pairing at the 3rd anti-codon position. Lineage: Eukaryota; Metazoa; Chordata; Mammalia; Rodentia; Sciuridae. The record is from Rfam by way of RNAcentral.